GCCACUACUACAUCUAACUUGUUUAUCUCGUCUACAUUAGCUUCAACCACUACAUUCUCAUCUAAUUUGUUCUUUUCAACUUCCUCUUCAAAUUCAAACUCUGCUUUGCCUUUCUCUACCGAUUCAUCAGGUUUUUCCUACCCCAAAAGCAGUACAAGUUUAACACUAACUACUACUGCAUCUACAGCAGCUCCUUCUUUGACACAAUCUUCAUCAGCUAGCUCUUUAGGCUUCUCUUUGGGGACAUCAUCUUCUGCAUCUUCAGCAAGCGCU
Molecule: unclassified non-coding RNA, 273 nt
Filed under: Hevea brasiliensis (rubber tree)
Lineage: Eukaryota; Viridiplantae; Streptophyta; Magnoliopsida; Malpighiales; Euphorbiaceae
Source: RNAcentral